RNAcentral lists this ribosomal RNA (693 nucleotides) under Triticum aestivum (bread wheat). RNAcentral's name for it is "partial small subunit ribosomal RNA". The record is from RNAcentral. Lineage: Eukaryota; Viridiplantae; Streptophyta; Magnoliopsida; Poales; Poaceae.
AUGACCUCUCGCCCCCUCCUCCUCCUCCUCCUCCCGCCUCCUGCCUCUCCCUCCUCCGCUCCCUCCUGCUCCGCCUCCGUGCCAUUCCCCGCCCCCACCUCCCCACCCUCCUCUCCCUCGCCCUCCCCGGCAAAAACGGCAACGACGGCGGCGGUGGCAACAACAGCGGCGGCGGUGGGGAUGACGAAACAGGGGACGGCGGCGGCGAGUGGGGCGGCCACCGGGGGGAGGCGCUGUUCGUGCUGCCGCAGGCGGGGAGGAAGCUCUCCAGCCUGCCGGCGGACCUCGCCAUGGCCGUGGAGGGCGGCCGCGUCACGGGAUAUGGAGCGCUCGCCGCUGCUCCAUUGGCUGCUGGGCUUUAGAUGGUUCAGGGAGCGCCUCCUCGCCGACGACCUCUUCCUCGCCAAGCUCGCCAUGGAGAUGGGCGUCGGCAUGAUCGCCAAGAGUGCCCCGAGGCUCCCUCCCACCAUUCCUUCCCCCGCGGCAGUGUCACCAUGGACCACGGAGCAAAGUCUCGACCGCGGCGGCGCUGUCGUGUUGAGGAGGGAGGAUCAAGAAGGGGGGUGGAGCUGGGGCGACGGCCACACGGAAGGAGCCGGGAGCAUGCCAGAGCGGCACUCAGUUUGCUCAGGUGCCGCUGUGCAGUCGUAUCUACGAGCAGGUAUAUUUGGAAUUGGAGGAAACAUAUCCUGA